Molecule: ribosomal RNA, 468 nt
Filed under: uncultured bacterium
Lineage: Bacteria
Description: partial 16S ribosomal RNA
Rfam family: Bacterial small subunit ribosomal RNA
Source: RNAcentral
GACGAACGCUGGCGGCGUGCUUAACACAUGCAAGUCGAACGGAAAGGCCCUGCUUUUGUGGGGUGCUCGAGUGGCGAACGGGUGAGUAACACGUGAGUAACCUGCCCUUGACUUUGGGAUAACUUCAGGAAACUGGGGCUAAUACCGGAUAGGAGCUCCUGCUGCAUGGUGGGGGUUGGAAAGUUUCGGCGGUUGGGGAUGGACUCGCGGCUUAUCAGCUUGUUGGUGGGGUAGUGGCUUACCAAGGCUUUGGCGGGUAGCCGGCCUGGGGGGGUGACCGGCCACAUUGGGACUGGGAUACGGCCCAGACUCCUACGGGAGGCAGCAGUGGGGAAUAUUGCACAAUGGGCGGAAGCCUGAUGCAGCAACGCCGCGUGCGGGAUGACGGCCUUCGGGUUGUAAACCGCUUUCGCCUGUGACGAAGCGUGAGUGACGGUAAUGGGUAAAGAAGCACCGGCUAACUACGUG